This 73-nucleotide transfer RNA is filed under the name Candidatus Pacearchaeota archaeon CG1_02_31_27. RNAcentral's name for it is "tRNA-Lys". It matches the Rfam family "tRNA". From Rfam's summary of the family: Transfer RNA (tRNA) molecules are approximately 80 nucleotides in length. Their secondary structure includes four short double-helical elements and three loops (D, anti-codon, and T loops). Lineage: Archaea; Nanobdellati. The record is from RNAcentral.
GGGCUUGUAGCUCAGUUGGUAGAGCACCGCACUCUUAAUGCGGGUGUCGGGGGUCCAAAUCCCCUCAGGCCCA